Molecule: long non-coding RNA, 2030 nt
Filed under: Oreochromis niloticus (Nile tilapia)
Lineage: Eukaryota; Metazoa; Chordata; Actinopteri; Cichliformes; Cichlidae
Description: lncRNA (ENSONIG00000027971.1)
Source: RNAcentral
UGUCGGAUUAUUGUCGUUCCCAUAAGUGGUAACAGUGCUGUUGCAAGUUUAGCCUGUUGGUUCCGAGCACCUGAGCUACAUGUUUUAAGAUUCAUCUCCUGUCUGCUUUUUUCCCUACACCAGCCUGUCUCGCCGCCUGCUCGCCUGCCUGUUUCUUUGUGCGCUGGCCCAUUUUUUGGAUCUGUGACAGAGACUUACCUGGCGCUGGCCUGCGAUCGUUGUUACUCCUGUAUCCUGGUGUUUCAAGUAGCUCUGGUUUGCGCAUCUAUCUGUCUGCGUACCUUGGCUCCGUUCCGUUCCCCCUCGGCUCUGUUUAUUUGCACAUUUAUUUGGUUAUUGUAUAUAGCCCUGUCCCCUUGUAAAUAUUUCCUGAUUACGGUUAAUAAAUCUGCUUCACCGCUGUUCUGCGCCUGUGUGUGUUUCUGCCACUGAAUCCAUCUGUUUAAAUGAACCUAACAACAUUCUCUGUCAUAUGGGCCUGCAUGAAUCAACUUUCUGAAUCCUUUAUCAUCCGCAACUGAAAAUAGUUGUGGACCAUUACUAUACCUUUCUAAUGUGACGUUUUUGUCCCUGGCUCUCUUUCUCUCUCUUUCCCUCCGUCUCUGUUUCUGUGCUACUGCGAGUGUAACUACCCCCCCUUUCCCCUCUGCCCAGCGCAAAGCACAAGGCUCGCGUGCGGACUGAAGCGGAAAAAAAGUGCGAGAGAGAGGGUGAGAGAAGGAAAAAAAAAACCCCCACGGCUCGCGAUAAGGAGCCGGCUCGCGUCAUUCACGUCAAAGAUCCGGCUCUAAGAGCCAUUUCGUUCGCGACCGACACAUCACUAGUAAGCGGAGUAUCAUCUCACUUUAAUUCGCAUGACAUCGAGCUGUAUAUCAAAAAACUAAAUAGGGUUAAAUAUUACUGACCCGUAUAAUGCUCCCGGCGUGCUUUUCAAAAGUAUUUCAGCGGAAAAAGACGUCCCAGGUCUAUGCUAUCCAGACAUAUAUAACUACCGUAUAACCUUCCUAUCGUCCUACCUGGGGGACUCUUUAAAAGCUUAUAAAAGCCUGGAGGAUUACAAAUGGACUCAAUCUGGCUUUGUAACAAACAUUCAGCUGUGGAAUCUUCAAGCAAAAAAAAUUCUGCAUCAUCACUGGAAAGGUAAGUGUCAUGUUAUCCCAGGCGGUGUAACGUUAGCAUUGUUAGCGUGGUCCGCGUUGUCGUUUGUUUAAAUUAGCUUGGCUAAAACGCGUCUGGUUGUCAGUACCUAUUUUGUGUUUCUGAUGUACUUAACCAAGAUUGUUAACAUUGGACCAACUGUAUCACAACCUCUCCCAAUGCCGCACACAAGAGGGGAAGAUCAUCAAACCCUAAAUUAAAAUUCUAAAUUAAUGCUAUUUUGUUAUUAAUAUAAUUCAGUGUUUUAUAUUGCACCUUACCACUGAAUCAAGUGGCUAGUUUGUAGAUUUUUGUUCACUGAAAAAGGCAAAAAAAAAAAUUUUUCUUAAUUUAAUUCUGAUCUGUAUCUCUCAAUCAGGAAUAUGAAACAUGGUUAGUGGAAAUCAUUUGAGAUAGAUAUGAAGAUCAAAAAAUAGUGAGCCCAGGUGACAUCUGCCAUACUCUUAUUCUGAUAUUUGUAGGACAAGUAAGAAAGCUUUCCCUUCAAAAGUCAAGUCACAAUAAGCGAACAAAAAGUGAGAGUUAAUAAUGUGUAUUUGUUGGUUGAGCACAUCAGUCACAUAAUUUUCAUCUACACUGAAAGGGCACCACAGAUUCAGAUACAUUUGUAAGCGCACAACAUACACCCACAAUUUUGUCAAGAUAGGUCACAUAAUUUUCUCUGUCUAUCUCUGUGAAAGUUAUGGGGACAGUGAUUUUGACGGAGAACACCUAUUACUCUUUUAUAUGUAUCCUGAGAGAACCAAGACAUCUGGUUUUCUCCAAAUCAACAGGUUCAAACUGUUUCUUUCCAUGAGUAAAUGCUGGAAUCUUUAACUCUGCUUGGCAUGUCUGAAUGGACUCUUUAACCAGGAAACCCGUCUGCUAAAACU